CGGCUACCGUGCGGCGCGGAGCUGGGGACACGUGGAAUCUCUUUCUGGAUGCUCGACUGGUCACCAGAUGGCCAGAGUCAGCUUUGUCGCUGUUUGGGGAGCUGCACCGGUGGGGUGUUGUCCAGGGACCCUAACUUGGUGCAGCCGGGACGGCCUUGCAGACGGACUUCGGCCUCAUGGACACCUUCCUGGAUUUCCUGGUUUACCACAGAACCAGUGUCUUAGCACUGACCGGCCCUCACUACACUUGCCUUUCCUGAGACACACAAACUCGGCUGCCUUUUUGUCAACUUGACUGGCGUCGGGGAAUGGCAAAGAAGGUGCGCUCUGACCGGGACGCCGCUGCCUGCUUUCAGAUGCCGGUUUGAAGACACGUGGGGAGCGGACAGUGUGGAGAGGCACUCACUGCUAGUUAAGCCGCAGCUCACGGCCUGGAGACGGGCGUACUGUGCACGGAGACCUUUGCCGAGGCCCCUGCAGCUCAUCGCUGUGUCGCAAGCCUGUAUUUUCAGUUUUGGUGUUUAGCCUACGGUCGCACUCCUUUCUGAUGUUGCUGAACAGCCGCAGGUUUGCUGUAAUAAUGAGAAGAUUCUCGCUCUUGUUACUGUCGCCUCUUCCUCAGUGCCCUUCCGGUGAGUUCCUGAGCUUGGGCUGCAGGGGCCACAAGGUGGCUGCUGCCCUUGGUCAGACCCUUGGUCAGCGAGCGCCCGUUCCCGGGAGUAGUUGACCUUGAGUCGUGACGUCAGUGCGGCUUCUGCAGCGCCCCCCCACUGCCCCCCGUGGUGCCUGUCACCCAGGCCGCAGCGGUCCUCAUCAUGGGUGAACGUGGGUCCCUCGCCCUUUCUCUGGCUCGCUCUGCGUCUCCUCCCUCUCUGUGAUGUCACCUGCGCCCUCCCCCGCUGGCCUUUUCCCCCCAGUGUGUCACAGUGUGCCCCUCCUCUGACCUUUGCCCCCUCCAGCCAUGGCCCACUACAGCUCCUGCUCGAUCACAUUCGUUCUCGUUGCCCCCAAAUCACUUUUUGGGUGACGGCUUCCCUGUCCGCACGUGCAGUCUCUUUCCCGCUCGGCCAACUCGCAGAUUCAACCCCCGCCUGCUGUGCUCCGUCGUCCCGCGGCCUCCGAGCCUGUGCAGCACUGACCUCUCCGCCCCCCAGAAGGGGCUCCCCAGGGCGGGCCCCUCACAUACCUCCCUGUGUCUCUCGAUUCUGAUUCCUUCUUUCUGUCCCGAUUCCAAGGCCUUACUGUUUUCCUGCAGAAUUCCCUCUUCCCUUCCUCAAACUGAUUCCAGUCUCCUCUGAUACGGAAUCUGUUCAUGACUCUGCUCCAAAACCUCUUCUCUGCAACACACCUCCUACCACUCUGUCCCUGCCUGAAAUCCUGCGGUGCUUCCCGCCGCAUUGAGGACGCGCCCACGCUUCUCAGCCUGGCAGAUGGGAGGCGUUCCGUGUCUGGGCCCCGUGGCUUGGAGCUGAGACCGGGAGCACUCCACGCCGCCGCUCACACCGCCCUGGCUCCGAGUCUCGGCCCCCUUCCCCACACCCACGCUGACACUUCAGGCCAGAGGUCUCUCCUGCCGCAUCUCUUCCUCAUCCUCUCCUCUGGCGUGGACGCACUUCCUGGCCCGAGUUCCUCCCGCGCACCAGCCAGUCCCACCACAGGGGUCUGUGCCCACCUCCCCGCCCUGCCGCACGUGGUGCACCUGUGGUCUGCACCUGAUAAAAGCGUGUCGGGUGAGACUGUCUGACGUCCGAUUUACUUCACAGAUGAUCGCCGUUGUCCACGGUUGCAGUACAUGUUACAGAUUAGGUGAUGCAAAAUAGGGUGACUCUGGAAAGGGCCACAACCCUGUGCACACGGAGCUGGAGGGAAGGGGAAGCGGGCCAGGUGUGUGCUGGUGGCACCCGCAGGAGAGCCUUUUCACCGUGGUAUCUAUACCGGCUGCUUCGGGUCAGGCCCGGCUUCAGCGGCGAAGGGUACCGUCCCCCACACUGCCCUCGUUUCAGCUCCGGCUGCAAGCUUGGGGACUCCCAGGCUCCCCUCACGUCCGACCAGCUCGUCCAUCACAAAUGCGGGGGGAUUGAGGACCAACUGGGGCUGCGCACGGCACUCGGGCACGCUCUGCGCAGCUUACGGUUUUCCUAGAGCAGCAGAGGUGCACACCAGGACCAGCCAGAGAGGACACUCGUGGAGGGAGGUCUGGAGGGUCCCCGGUGGGUUGGUGCUGCAAGCUCUCCCCUGUGGGGCCAGAACUCGCUCCCCGCACGCAGACCGACGCGACAGGGCAUUGCAGAACUGCUAACCUGGGGGCUCGCCUGAGCCUCCGUGCAGUUUCAUUGGGGGCUCCCAUAGAGGCAUGAUGGGCAGCUGGCCAUGAGCUGCACUCCACCUUCCCAUCCCACUCCAGAGGUGGCGCUGAAAGCCCCACGCUCCCAAUUCCCUGGCUGGUCUUCCGGCAUGGCCAGCCGUGGCUCUGAGUCACUGGUUCACGGGAACUGUGAGAGCCCACAGUGAGUGACAGACGAGUCACGGGGGGUUCCCGGGAUGGGGAGGCUGCCCUGCAGGAAGCUGGGGGAAAGGCCACCCACGUUCUUUAUCCAAGUCACAGGCCGUCUAAAACAGCCUGGCCGCCAGAAUGCAAAUCAUGUUGAUAGUCCAGAAUUGGUGUGCAUGUGUCUGUUCUUACCAAGAAAGGACUGUGAGCCCUGGCCGGCGUGGCUCCGCUGGUCGGAGUGUCGCCCCAUCACCCAAAGGUUGCGGGUUCAGUCCCCAGUCUGAGCUUGUAUGAUGCCCGGUCUGGGGGCAUACAGGAAGGAACCCACGGAUGCCUCUUUCCCACACAGCUGUUUCUCGCUCUCUCCCUCUAAAAGCAAUGAAAAAAUGUCCUCAAGUGAGGAUUAAAAAAAAGAAAGGAUGGUGAUUCAAAGGAAAUGAAAACAGGACAUUGAGGGAUUCGCCCUCCCAUGCAUGCUCGUUGCAGUGUCAUCCACAGCAGCCCAGGCGUGGAAACGGCCCCAGGGGUCCAUCAGCAGGCGGGUGGGGGAGGAAGGCGCACUGGCUCGUGCUCCCCGCUGCGGGAUAAGGGACCCCUGCCGCAUGCAGCAGCCGGGCAGACCGAAGGGGAGGACAAGUGCUGAGUGCUGUCCCCACGUGUGGGAUCCGAGAGGUCGGAUGCGUACAAACAGAAGAAUGAUCACCAGGAGCGGGGCAGGGGACCGUGGGAAGGUCGGUGAGAGGGCGCAGAGUUUCGGUUGUGAAGCGAAUGAAGCUGAGGACCUAACGGGUGAUGUGACUGUAGCUAACAACACUGUGCGGGAUCAUUGCAAUGGGCUAAGAGGAUAAACUCAAAUGUUCUCUCCAAAACAGGAAGAAAGAGACCCGCGACUCCUGUGCCGAUGGAGCCUGGGUGGCACUUCAGUACCAAAUCGACUGCGUGACUUUGCACUUGGCAAAGUCUGCUAGAGGCUGUCCAGACAGGAGAAGUGUACCAGAGUUAGGGAAUACUUCCGAGAGAAAAGAGUCAAAAUAUGUAUGUCUGACCAAGGAUUCGUAUCUGAAUAAUUGAGUCCCACUUAUAGGCAAAACUCCCUUUUCUCCUUUACUCUGGCGUGGCUGCCUGGUACUCCUGACCCCACAUGUGCGGGGCUUCCCACAGUGGCCGUGUGUCCGACACUUCGCUGCACGGGUCACGGCUCAGCCAUGUGUUUUCCAGCACCGAGCAUUUCUUCCAGUCUCAGUAGAUACCAGUGGGGUGUCCUAUGGCUUAGCUCGGUCCUGACGCUGCCUUCCUGGGAAUGGGGUCAGGCCACAGGUUAAGGGCUCAGACCCAGGAGAGCGCCCCCUCCAGAGGUCAGGGGCGAGUCCAGGUUGUGCUUCUGAUGGGAUCAGAGGCUCCCAGCAUCCUGUUUGGGUUUGGUCACUAGAGUAUAGGACUCAGAGAAACACGCUCCUUAACUAAAUCACUGCUCAGCGAGAAGGGGUAUCACUCGAGAACACCCAGAUGGAAGGCGCAUGUGGGGCGCAGGGGACGGGAGGGGGCCCGGGGGCAGGAA
Molecule: long non-coding RNA, 4049 nt
Organism: Artibeus jamaicensis (Jamaican fruit-eating bat)
Lineage: Eukaryota; Metazoa; Chordata; Mammalia; Chiroptera; Phyllostomidae
Exons: 3
Source: RefSeq, a predicted model, not a curated record